CGUAUAUUAAAGUUGUUGCAGUUAAAAAGCUCGUAGUUGGAUUUGUGGCGUAUGGUGUGUUCCGGGCACUUGUUGUCUGAGUAACCUGCUGUUGCCAUCCUUGGGUGGAACCUGUGUGGCAUUAGGUUGUCGUGCAGGGGAUGCCCAUCAUUUACUGUGAAAAAAUUAGAGUGUUCAAAGCAGGCUUAUGCCGUUGAAUAUAUUAGCAUGGAAUAAUGAGAUAGGACUUUUUUACUAUUUUGUUGGUUUGCGUAAAGAGGCAAUGAUUAAUAGGGACAGUUGGGGG
This 286-nucleotide ribosomal RNA is filed under the name uncultured diatom. Its description in RNAcentral is "partial 18S ribosomal RNA". It matches the Rfam family "Eukaryotic small subunit ribosomal RNA", at positions 598 to 888 of the family's 1831-position model. Lineage: Eukaryota; Bacillariophyta. The record is from RNAcentral.